AUUUCCUCCUUCCCUGCCGGUUUCUCCCCUCUACCCUGGCACCCCAAAUUUCGAUGUGUCGCCUGCCGGGCGCUAAGCGCCGGUGUUGAGAGGCAGCGGCCGCCGCGCCCGGGAAAAUGCUGGGCAUGUACGUGCCGGACAGGUUCUCCCUGAAGUCCUCCCGGGUUCAGGACGGGAUGGGGCUCUACACGGCCCGCAGAGUGCGAAAGGGUGAAAAGUUCGGACCCUUUGCUGGAGAGAAGAGAAUGCCUGAAGACUUGGAUGAAAAUAUGGAUUACAGGUUGAUGUGGGAGGGUCUUGCUCUGUCGCCCAGACUGGAGUGCAGUGGUGUGAUCUCAGCUCACUGCAGCCUCUGCCUCCCGAGUUCAAGCAAUUCUCCUGCCUCAGCCUCCUGAGUAGCUGGGAUCACAAGCAUGUGCCACCACGCCUGGCUAAGUUUUGUAUUUUUAGUAGAGAUGGGGUUUCACCAUGUUGGACAGGCUGGUCUUGAACUCCUGGCCUCAAAUAAUCUGCCCACCUCGGCCUCUCAAAAUGCUGGCAUUACAGGCAUGAAUCACCAUGCCUGGCCGGGUAGA
This 575-nucleotide small RNA is filed under the name Pongo abelii (Sumatran orangutan). RNAcentral's name for it is "processed transcript". Lineage: Eukaryota; Metazoa; Chordata; Mammalia; Primates; Hominidae. The record is from RNAcentral.